This 701-nucleotide ribosomal RNA is filed under the name uncultured Pseudomonadota bacterium. Its description in RNAcentral is "bacterial SSU rRNA". It matches the Rfam family "Bacterial small subunit ribosomal RNA", at positions 73 to 749 of the family's 1533-position model. The record is from RNAcentral. Lineage: Bacteria; Pseudomonadati; Pseudomonadota.
GAGGGCUUCGGCUCUCUAGUAAAGUGGCGGACGGGUGCGUAACACGUGGGUAAUCAACCUUCCAGCGGGGGACAACCGUCCGAAAGGAUGGCUAAUACCGCGUACGUCGGCGAGGGCUCCGGUCCUUGUCGGGAAAGACGGCCACUCCUUGGAAGCUGUCACUGGAAGACGAACCCGCGGCCCAUCAGCUAGUUGGUGAGGUAACGGCUCACCAAGGCAAAGACGGGUAGCUGGUCUGAGAGGAUGAUCAGCCACACUGGGACUGCGACACGGCCCAGACUCCUACGGGAGGCAGCAGUGGGGAAUAUUGGGCAAUGGGCGAAAGCCUGACCCAGCCACGCCGCGUGAGUGAUGAAGGCCUUCGGGUCGUAAAGCUCUGUGGGGGGGGACGAACAAGCCUGGGAUUAACACCCCCGGGAUCUGACGGUACCUCCUUAGCAAGCACCGGCUAACCCUGUGCCAGCAGCCGCGGUAAUACAGGGGGUGCAAACGUUGCUCGGAAUUAUUGGGCGUAAAGCGCGCGUAGGCGGCUACUUAUGUCGGAUGUGAAAGCCCUUGGCUCAACUGAGGAAGUGCACCCGAAACUGAGUGGCUGGAGUACGAAAGAGGGUCGCGGAAUUCCCGGUGUAGAGGUGAAAUUCGUAGAUAUCGGGAGGAACACCGGUGGCGAAGGCGGCGACCUGGGUCGAUACUGACGCUGA